UCACCAGAAUUCUGUCUAGCUUCAGGCUACUGACCCCUUGUUCUUAGUUUCCCAGUUCCUACUUGCUGCCUGUUUGUCUCCAGUGUCAUAGGUCCUGCUUGUUUGUUCCUAGUUUCCUGUUCCCUAUGUGCUGGCUUCCUCCUUGUUCCUGGUUUGUCCCAUGGUUUCCUGUCUGCUGGCUCUAGCCUGGACCCCAUAGACUGCAGACUACUUUGCCAGCUCCUUGACCCUUGUGCUCCAGACCUGCUUUCCUGACCUUGUCUGUUCUUGGUCCCCUAGGUUGUGAUCCUCCAGGGUCAAACUCUGACUUCCUGCAUCUUGGCUGUACCCCUGACACUAUGGGUGUUUGUACAUGUGAUGGGCUGGCUGGUAGUGACCCAGCCCAGGAGUUUUGAAAGGGCAAAAGAUGAUUGGAGGACUUGGGAUUUCCUUUCCUCACCGAUCAGGCCCCAGAGACUCACCCUCCGUGUCUCCUGAUUCACCCCUUGGGUCACCUGGAGGGGGAUAAAAGGGACAGCGCAGCUGACUCAGGGAGAGACCAGUGAGGGACUACAAGAAAGGAGUUUCAAGAGCUGAGCCAGCGGGGUGGGAACAGUUGCCCCAGAAGAGCCUGAAGAAGCAGGACCUGUAGGCAGCAGCUAGACUCUUAGCAGCAUGGCAUGUGGCCAGUAGGAGAGGCUUCCUGCUGGGCUCCAGGAUUGCCUAUGAGAGGCUGUGGCCAGCAGAAGUUCCUCUGCUCCAGCAAGGAUCUGAGCAGCGACCUGAGGAGUUCCCAGCUUGGCUUCCAGCUCCUCCAAUCAGAGACCAGGCAGCUUGACAUGAGGCUGGGGCUCUGGAAAGGUCAAAACCCCUAGCAGUUUGGAGCAGGGGCUGCCAGUGGUGGCUGGGUAGUAGUGUUUCUGUCUACCACAUGAGAUAUCUGAGUUCAAGUCCCAGCUGGGAUAUUGAAAUGCACGGAGUUCACCCAUAGGAAAGCCUGCCCUUACUGCCAUUGAAGGCAAUGACAAAAUUACAAAGAUUAUCCUGACUCAUUUGUCCAUUCGUCUCUCCAUGGAAAGGCACCUCAGGGGUUUCAAUGAUAAUUUUUUUGUAAUUCCUUUCCUAAAUAUGACACAGGACAUGUAAUAUCAGAGAACUCUAAAAAGGCCAGGAAUAUGUUCUGUGCUUUUGUGCCUUGCAUUAGGCUUUCAGACCUGCAGCUGCUUCUGCCAUCAAUGAUUUCUUAGACACAUCAGCUGGCUUGGGUCUUUUGUUAUCUCCAUACUCCCCACCCCCACACCAGUGAAAUCCCUCUGUAUUAGGUCAUACUUUACCCAGACAGUUAAUUUCAGCUUUCUUAAAGACAGUGUGUCAAUUUGUCUUAAAAAAUGUAAUUGUUCCUAUACACGUGCAGAGAUGCUGCUCUGAUGCGCUUAAUCGAGUCUGCUGCUGCUCCAGCAUCACGUGUAUCAGCACCCCGGCGUUUUAUGAGCUUUAGUUCAAAGUGCCCCAUGGCUAUUUUUCAGCACAGGGACACUAAUACAUGUGACACUCUUGGAGCUUUAAUUAGCUUGCCUCUCAGAGCUGCACUAAUUAAAACACCCCCUCUGCCCUCCCCACCUCCACCCUCCUGGAGAUCUAUAAAUGUCCUAUGAUUUCAAUUGGAUUGGUGAAUGAAAAGGUGAAAGAUCAGGCAAUUAUUCUGCAGGAAUCAGGCAAUGGACACACAUCCCUUUCCCCCCCUGCUCCCCCUCCUCUCCCCCCCCCCAAUCAAACUUCAAACUCCUAUGGGCAAAAUUAUUCAAUAUUAUUUCAUUCUUUUUUAUAAAGCAUCUAAAAGGGAUUUUUUUCACAUGAUAACACUUGCAUAUUAACAUGACUUCAAGGAUUCCCUUCAAACUUUCUGAACAAGAAUUCAACUUUGAGUGCACUGAGUGAAAUCCUGUCCCAAAUGCAGUCCAUGCAAUACUCUCAUUGCUUUUAAGUGGCCAAAAUGUCACCUUAGAUAUUUAAACAUAAUACUUUUUCAAAACAGCUAAGUGCCCAAAGACUAAAUUUUUUCUUUAGACUGCAAACACUUUAGGGCAAGGACCAUGUCUAAAUGUAUGUUUUUCAUGUGUUAACACAAUGGGGCUCUUAUCUUGAUCAGGAUCUGGGGAUACUAUCAGAAUAACAAUUUCAUAGAUUUCAUAGACAUUAGGCUGGAAGGGACCUCAGAAGAUUGUCGAGUCCAGCCCCAAAAUGUUUUUGAAAAAUUUUUCCAGAAAUAAAACUAUUUUUAUUGUCAUUAAUACCAACUUUACAUAAUUUUUCCUCCAAACUGCAUUUUCUUUCCUUUUUUUGUUUUGUUUGUUUGUUUUUAAAUAACAAAGGCAUAUUUAUUUCCUGAGUCCAAAAAGACUAAGGUAGCUAUAAUUUUAAGUGGCGUCAGAUACGCUGUGGUUGGACUUGCAUUUUUGCUAUUACAAAACUAUUAAAAUAUGGAGGAACUAAAGACACAUACAGGAACAGAACUAUUGGCGUCUGGAUCGUGCUAAUAUAAUUGGACAGAACUUGGCAGGUUCUAAUUUCCUAAUAACAUUUUCAAAAUUAAAAUGAGCAACAUAGAACAUUUUCAGCAUGAAUAUGCCCCACAACAAGGAAAUGUAGCAUCUCUCUCUCUAAUUCAGGAGCUAGGAAAUCAGUCUUGUUUUGCGUUCACUGGUAAAACUGGGCACCGUGCAUCUCAGUUUGCUUGAGGCAUAAUAAGCUCAUAACGCCCAACCUGGGCCUCUUGCUUCAGCUGGUCUAAUAAAUCUUCCUUGCGCCUCUUUCUGCUUACCACCAAGUAUCUAACAUAACCUUGCCUGUGCGAUUUACUUUUAAGCCCAUAUUUUUGGGCAAUUUGAUGUAUUCGCUUCUGUUCAUCGUUGUUAAGUUCUAUCGAGAAUGUCAAGUCAACGUUACUCUCUGAACGAGCGUAAUUUCAGAUGAUCUGCUCGAUAUCUCUCUUGGCAGUUUUGUUCACCCUUUCCAUAUCAAGGCCAAGUCCUUCCCUUUUAAACUGCUCCUUCACUGAAAUAGGCUCUCAGAUCCCUUCACCAUCUUUCCCAAGCCCACCACCCAUAGGUUUUGCAUGAAUGGACUCAAACUUACCUCCGCCAGUCAACGAGAAUUUUCUGACUGACUUCUAUGGCAGCAGAAGCAGGCCUAAAGUGCUGCUUCUCCAGCAUAGUUACAAUGUACCAUAAUCACUUUAGUCUGCUAAAUUUUAUUUUUUUCCUUUAAUGAUAAGCAUUUUGGGCAAGAUUUCACAAGUGCUCAGCACCAAACCACUAAAGUCUUUUUUUUUUUCUCCUUCUGUGGUCAUUGCACAGUACUCACUUUCUAGUACAAUAUCCCAAAAUCUCCCAUUACAAAAAGAAUCAUGAUCUUUUACAAACAGCUUUUUAAAGGAUGUGGAUUUAUACUGAAGUGAGCACUGUUCCUUAGGAUUUCUCAAUUUAUAAAUCAAUUGCACUGUUGUACACCACCAGACCAGCAUGAACAUAUGUAAACUGCAGGGUAAGGACCUAGAGAUACAAAUCUCCUAAUUAAGUCAAUGGAGACCUAAGCUUUUAACCUCUUCCUGAAAAGCAAAUAAAAGUGAAAAGUAUUAUAUUUCACCUACUGAGUCAAAUCUAAAGAAAAUUAUCUCUAUCUGAUGUUGUGAACAGCUUCCAAGCAUAUAUCUAAUGUGCCAUUUUGCCUAUGCAUUUUAACAUGUCACUUCCAUAUCUUUACCCUAUUCCCUAGGAAACAUAAUCCAUAAAACCACAAUUUAAUACAGUUUAAGAUCACUAACUGUGCCAGCUCCUGAAAAAUGUAGGAUAUGAACAGGUGGGAAGCUGCAAAUCUAGAAUGAGGUAUAUUUGAACAGCUGCACAAAAAAUUUGCACAUUUGCUUGUGUCUAUUGGUCCCCAAUUUUCAUGAGUACCCAGAAUUCACACACUUUUUUUAAAUGCAGAGAAAGAGAAAAGGAGAAGUAAUUCAGUUAAGAACUAAGCAAUGUAACUCUUUUGGAAAAUUUUAUUUUACUAUGUGUCAACUGUUUAACUAAAAGAAAUAACUUCUGCAUGUCUGGUCUAUUAGAAGCUCAUCACUGAACCAUAAAACAGCGAGACCAGAGAAAU
Molecule: long non-coding RNA, 4131 nt
Organism: Alligator mississippiensis (American alligator)
Lineage: Eukaryota; Metazoa; Chordata; Crocodylia; Alligatoridae
Exons: 3
Source: RefSeq, a predicted model, not a curated record